AACGUAGGUGGCAAGCGUUAUCCGGAAUUACUGGGCGUAAAGGGUGUGCAGGCGGGGUGGCAAGUGGUGUAUGAAAUCUCCCAGCUUAACUGGGAUAGGUUAUGCCAGACUGCUACUCUAGAGGACGAGAGAGGGGCGUGGAAUUCCGGGUGUAGUGGUGAAAUGCGUAGAUAUCUGGAGGAACACCGGUGCGAGGACGGCGAUCCUGGACCGGCAUUGACGCUGAGGCGCGAAAGCCAGGGGAGCAAACGGG
This 253-nucleotide ribosomal RNA is filed under the name uncultured bacterium. RNAcentral describes it as "partial 16S ribosomal RNA". It matches the Rfam family "Bacterial small subunit ribosomal RNA", at positions 524 to 776 of the family's 1533-position model. The record is from RNAcentral.